AACGGAGAGUUUGAUCCUGGCUCAGGAUGAACGCUGGCGGCGUGCUUAACACAUGCAAGUCGAACGAACCUUCGGGUUAGUGGCGGACGGGUGAGUAACGCGUGGGAAUCUGCCCUCAGGAGGGGGAUAACGGUUGGAAACGACCGCUAAUACCCCAUAUGCCGAGAGGUGAAAUGAAUUUCGCCUGAGGAUGAGCCCGCGUCUGAUUAGCUUGUUGGUGAGGUAAUGGCUCACCAAGGCUUCGAUCAGUAGCUGGUCUGAGAGGAUGAUCAGCCACACUGGGACUGAGACACGGCCCAGACUCCUACGGGAGGCAGCAGUGGGGAAUUUUCCGCAAUGGGCGAAAGCCUGACGGAGCAACGCCGCGUGAGGGAUGAAGGCCUCUGGGCUGUAAACCUCUUUUCUCAAGGAAGAAGAUAUGACGGUACUUGAGGAAUAAGCCACGGCUAAUUCCGUGCCAGCAGCCGCGGUAAUACGGGAGUGGCAAGCGUUAUCCGGAAUUAUUGGGCGUAAAGCGUCCGCAGGCGGCCUUUCAAGUCUGCUGUUAAAGCGUGGAGCUUAACUCCAUCAUGGCAGUGGAAACUGAUUGGCUUGAGUAUGGUAGGGGCAGAGGGAAUUCCCGGUGUAGCGGUGAAAUGCGUAGAUAUCGGGAAGAACACCAGUGGCGAAGGCGCUCUGCUGGGCCAUAACUGACGCUCAUGGACGAAAGCCAGGGGAGCGAAAGGGAUUAGAUACCCCUGUAGUCCUGGCCGUAAACGAUGAACACUAGGUGUCGGGGGAAUCGACCCCUUCGGUGUCGUAGCUAACGCGUUAAGUGUUCCGCCUGGGGAGUACGCACGCAAGUGUGAAACUCAAAGGAAUUGACGGGGGCCCGCACAAGCGGUGGAGUAUGUGGUUUAAUUCGAUGCAACGCGAAGAACCUUACCAGGGUUUGACAUCCUGCGAACCUUUAAGAAAUUAGAGGGUGCCUUCGGGAACGCAGUGACAGGUGGUGCAUGGCUGUCGUCAGCUCGUGUCGUGAGAUGUUGGGUUAAGUCCCGCAACGAGCGCAACCCACGUUUUUAGUUGCCAGCAUUUAGUUGGGCACUCUAGAAAGACCGCCGGUGAUAAACCGGAGGAAGGUGUGGAUGACGUCAAGUCAUCAUGCCCCUUACAUCCUGGGCUACACACGUACUACAAUGCUACGGACAAAGGGCAGCAAACUCGCGAGAGCUAGCAAAUCCCAUAAACCGUGGCUCAGUUCAGAUCGUAGGCUGCAACUCGCCUACGUGAAGUAGGAAUCGCUAGUAAUCGCAGGUCAGCAUACUGCGGUGAAUACGUUCCCGGGCCUUGUACACACCGCCCGUCACACCAUGGAAGUUGGCCACGCCCGAAGUCGUUACUUUAACCCUUGUGGAGAAGGACGCCGAAGGUGGGGCUGAUGACUGGGGUGAAGUCGUAACAAGGUAGCCGUACCGGAAGGUGCGGCUGGAUCACCUCCUAA
This 1483-nucleotide ribosomal RNA is filed under the name Prochlorococcus marinus str. XMU1408. Its description in RNAcentral is "16S ribosomal RNA". It matches the Rfam family "Bacterial small subunit ribosomal RNA". The record is from RNAcentral. RNAcentral also lists the same sequence under 1 other name. Lineage: Bacteria; Bacillati; Cyanobacteriota; Cyanophyceae; Synechococcales; Prochlorococcaceae.